AUACCAAAUCGCACAAAGCACAUUUGUCACAAUUUAUCUCCAAAUUUGGGAGAAACUUAACAUACAAUAUUCACACUGCGACUAGAAAGAUCCUACCACUAAUAUCCAGCUCGGUCCUCAUAUCGGAUUAAGUAAAAUUAUACUAUAAAUAUUAGACUGUGGGCAUCCAACCUAAAACCAAUUGACAAUAAGUAGAGAGAUCCAUAUUUUAUAUAUACCACUUAAGAUCCUACUCAACUUCCGAUGUGGGACAAUAUCCCUAAUAAUAAAUACCCUACCAUCAAGAUAGACAUAUAUAGUCUUUCAAACACACAUGUACAACAAU
Molecule: small RNA, 325 nt
Filed under: Arabidopsis thaliana (thale cress)
Lineage: Eukaryota; Viridiplantae; Streptophyta; Magnoliopsida; Brassicales; Brassicaceae
Description: ATSL282250
Source: RNAcentral